CGAGGGCCGGAGGGUUCCUGGCAAGGUGAUUUGCGACUGCGUUUCUAAGAAAAAUCACAUUGCCAGGGAUUACCACUGGCCCUCG
RNAcentral lists this microRNA precursor (85 nucleotides) under Petromyzon marinus (sea lamprey). RNAcentral's name for it is "microRNA pma-mir-23b precursor". Its record names the gene pma-mir-23b. It matches the Rfam family "mir-23 microRNA precursor family". Lineage: Eukaryota; Metazoa; Chordata; Hyperoartia; Petromyzontiformes; Petromyzontidae. The record is from miRBase by way of RNAcentral.